RNAcentral lists this transfer RNA (77 nucleotides) under Desulfobulbaceae bacterium. RNAcentral describes it as "tRNA-His". It matches the Rfam family "tRNA". Rfam says of the family: Transfer RNA (tRNA) molecules are approximately 80 nucleotides in length. Their secondary structure includes four short double-helical elements and three loops (D, anti-codon, and T loops). The record is from RNAcentral. Lineage: Bacteria; Pseudomonadati; Thermodesulfobacteriota; Desulfobulbia; Desulfobulbales; Desulfobulbaceae.
GUGAGCGUAGCUCAGUUGGUUAGAGCGUCGGAUUGUGGUUCCGAAGGUCGGGGGUUCGAUCCCCCUCGCUCACCCCA